AGUGAACGCUGGCGGUAGGCCUAACACAUGCAAGUCGAACGGCAGCACAGGAGAGCUUGCUCUCUGGGUGGCGAGUGGCGGACGGGUGAGGAAUACAUCGGAAUCUACUUUUUCGUGGGGGAUAACGUAGGGAAACUUACGCCAAUACCGCAUACGACCUACGGGUGAAAGCAGGGGAUCUUCGCACCUUGCGCGAUUGAAUGCGCCGAUGUCGGAUUAGCGAGUUGGCGGGGUAAAGGCACACCAAGGCGACGAUCCGUAGCUGGUCUGAGAGGAUGAGCCGCCACACUGGAACUGAGACACGGUCCAGACUCCUACGGGAGGCAGCAGUGGGGAAUAUUGGACAAUGGGCGCAAGCCUGAUCCAGCCAUACCGCGUGGGUGAAGAAGGCCUUCGGGUUGUAAAGCCCUUUUGUUGGGAAAGAAAUCCAGCUGGUUAAUACCCGGUUGGGAUGACGGUACCCAAAGAAUAAGCACCGGCUAACUUCGUGCCAGCAGCCGCGGUAA
RNAcentral lists this ribosomal RNA (506 nucleotides) under uncultured bacterium. RNAcentral describes it as "partial 16S ribosomal RNA". It matches the Rfam family "Bacterial small subunit ribosomal RNA", at positions 29 to 523 of the family's 1533-position model. The record is from RNAcentral.